AUGAACGCUAGCGGCAGGCCUAACACAUGCAAGCCGAGGGGUAGCAGUCCUGCCUUCGGGCGGGAGCUGACGACCGGCGCACGGGUGAGUAACGCGUAUACAAUCUGCCUAUUACUAAGAGAUAGCCCAGAGAAAUUUGGAUUAAUAUUUUAUGGCAUUACGACUUGGCAUCGAGUUGUAAUUAAAGGUUACGGUAAUAGAUGAGUAUGCGUCCUAUUAGCUUGAUGGUAAGGUAACGGCUUACCAUGGCUACGAUAGGUAGGGGUCCUGAGAGGGAGAUCCCCCACACUGGUACUGAGACACGGACCAGACUCCUACGGGAGGCAGCAGUGAGGAAUAUUGGACAAUGGGAGCAAUCCUGAUCCAGCCAUGCCGCGUGCAGGAAGACUGCCCUAUGGGUUGUAAACUGCUUUUAUACAGGAAGAAAAAGCCCGACGUGUCGGGUGUUGACGGUACUGUAAGAAUAAGGAUCGGCUAACUCCGUGCCAGCAGCCGCGGUAAUACGGAGGAUCCAAGCGUUAUCCGGAAUCAUUGGGUUUAAAGGGUCCGUAGGCGGGACAAUAAGUCAGUGGUGAAAGUCUGCAGCUCAACUGUAGAAUUGCCAUUGAUACUGUUGUUCUUGAGUGCUUGUGAAGUGGUU
Molecule: ribosomal RNA, 640 nt
Filed under: uncultured bacterium
Lineage: Bacteria
Description: bacterial SSU rRNA
Rfam family: Bacterial small subunit ribosomal RNA
Source: RNAcentral